Molecule: ribosomal RNA, 468 nt
Filed under: uncultured bacterium
Lineage: Bacteria
Description: partial 16S ribosomal RNA
Rfam family: Bacterial small subunit ribosomal RNA
Source: RNAcentral
GACGAACGCUGGCGGCGUGCUUAACACAUGCAAGUCGAACGGAAAGGCCCUGCUUUUGUGGGGUGCUCGAGUGGCGAACGGGUGAGUAACACGUGAGUAACCUGCCCUUGACUUUGGGAUAACUUCAGGAAACUGGGGCUAAUAACGGAUAGGAGCUCCUGCUGCAUGGUGGGGGUUGGAAAGUUUCGGCGGUUGGGGAUGGACUCGCGGCUUAUCAGCUUGUUGGUGGGGUAGUGGCUUACCAAGGCUUUGACGGGUAGCCGGCCUGAGAGGGUGACCGGCCACAUUGGGACUGAGAUACGGCCCAGCCUCCUACGGGAGGCAGCAGUGGGGAAUAUUGCACAAUGGGCGGAAGCCUGAUGCAGCAACGCCGCGUGCGGGAUGACGGCCUUCGGGUUGUAAACCGCUUUCGCCUGUGACGAAGCGUGAGUGACGGUAAUGGGUAAAGAAGCACCGGCUAACUACGUG